This 253-nucleotide ribosomal RNA is filed under the name uncultured bacterium. Its description in RNAcentral is "partial 16S ribosomal RNA". It matches the Rfam family "Bacterial small subunit ribosomal RNA", at positions 524 to 776 of the family's 1533-position model. The record is from RNAcentral.
UACGAAGGGGGCUAGCGUUGCUCGGAUUUACUGGGCGUAAAGGGCGCGUAGGCGGACAGUUAAGUUGGGGGUGAAAGCCCGGGGCUCAACCUCGGAAUUGCCUUCAAUACUGGCUGUCUUGAGUGUGAGAGAGGUGUGUGGAACUCCGAGUGUAGAGGUGAAAUUCGUAGAUAUUCGGAAGAACACCAGUGGCGAAGGCGGCUCACUGGCUCGUAACUGACGCUCAUGCACGACAGCGUGGGGAUCAAACAGG